AACACUGCAGUGAUGUUUUACAGUAAGCCAGGAGAGGAACACUGCAGCUGAUAUUUUACAGUAAGCCAGGUGAGGAACACUGCAGCUGAUAUUUUACAGUAAUCCAGGUGAGGAACACUGCAGCUGAUAUUUUACAGUAAGCCAGGUGAGGAACACUGCAGUUGCUGUUUUACAGUAAGCCAGGAGAGGAACACUGCAGUGAUGUAUUUACAGUAAGCCAGGAGAGGAACACUGCAGUGAUGUUUUACAGUAAGCCAGGAGAGGAACACUGCAGUGAUGUUUUACAGUAAGCCAGGAGAGGAACACUGCAGUGAUGUAUUUACAGUAAGCCAGGUGAGGAACACUGCAGUGAUGUUUUACAGUAAGCCAGGAGAGGAACACUGCAGUGAUGUAUUUACAGUAAGCCAGGUGAGGAACACUGCAGUGAUGUAUUUACAGUAAGCCAGGAGAGGAACACUGCAGUUAUGUUUUACAGUAAGCCAGGAGAGGAACACUGCAGUGAUGUAUUUACAGUAAGCCAGGUGAGGAACACUGCAGUGAUGUAUUUACAGUAAGCCAGGAGAGGAACACUGCAGUGAUGUAUUUACAGUAAGCCAGGAGAGGAACACUGCAGUGAUGUUUUACAGUAAGCCAGGAGAGGAACACUGCAGUGAUGUAUUUACAGUAAGCCAGGAGAGGAACACUGCAGUGAUGUUUUACAGUAAGCCAGGAGAGGAACACUGCAGUGAUGUAUUUACAGUAAGCCAGGAGAGGAACACUGCAGUGAUGUUUUACAGUAAGCCAGGAGAGGAACACUGCAGUGAUGUUUUACAGUAAGCCAGGAGAGGAACACUGCAGUGAUGUAUUUACAGUAAGCCAGGAGAGGAACACUGCAGUGAUGUUUUACAGUAAGCCAGGAGAGGAACACUGCAGUGAUGUUUUACAGUAAGCCAGGUGAGGAACACUGCAGUGAUGUUUUACAGUAAGCCAGGUGAGGAACACUGCAGUGAUGUUUUACAGUAAGCCAGGAGAGGAACACUGCAGUGAUGUUUUACAGUAAGCCAGGAGAGGAACACUGCAGUGAUGUUUUACAGUAAGCCAGGUGAGGGACACUGCAGUGAUGUUUUACAGUAAGCCAGGUGAGGAACACUGCAGUGAUGUUUUACAGUAAGCCAGGAGAGGAACACUGCAGUGAUGUAUUUACGUGUAGUAGCAUAAUGAAACGCGUGUCUCAUAUUUUGUACUACAAUAUUUAAUGAUUGUAUGAACAACGACACAGUAAAACUAUCGUAUCUUGUGUGUGGGUGGUCUAAACCUGGGGCGGCAGGGUAGCCUAGUGGUUAGAGAAUUUGUUCUUAACUGACUUGCCUCGUUAAAUAAAGGUAAAAUAAAAAAUAUAAAAAAUUCAUGAUUAAUGAGUUAUUAGUGUAUAACAAGUGUGUGUGUGUGUGUGUGUGGCAUCAAUAUGUGUGUGUGAGUGUGUGUGGCAUCAAUAUGUGUGUGUGUGUGUGUGUGGCAUCAAUAUGUGUGUGUGUGUGUGUGUGUGGCAUCAAUGUGUGUGUGUGUGUGUGUGUGUGUGUGUGUGUGUGUGGCAUCAAUAUGUGUGUGUGAGUGUGUGUGGCAUCAAUAUGUGUGUGUGUGUGUGGCAUCAAUGUGUGUGUGUGUGUGUGUGUGUGUGUGUGUGGCAUCAAUAUGUGUGUGUGAGUGUGUGUGGCAUCAAUAUGUGUGUGUGUGUGUGGCAUCAAUGUGUGUGUGUGUGUGUGUGUGUGUGUGUGUGGCAUCAAUAUGUGUGUGUGAGUGUGU
Molecule: long non-coding RNA, 1782 nt
Organism: Oncorhynchus keta (chum salmon)
Lineage: Eukaryota; Metazoa; Chordata; Actinopteri; Salmoniformes; Salmonidae
Exons: 3
Source: RefSeq, a predicted model, not a curated record